Molecule: ribosomal RNA, 420 nt
Filed under: uncultured bacterium
Lineage: Bacteria
Description: bacterial SSU rRNA
Rfam family: Bacterial small subunit ribosomal RNA
Source: RNAcentral
UGGGGAAUUGUUCACAAUGGACGCAAGUCUGAACCAGCCAUGCCGCGUGGAGGAUGAAGGUCCUCUGGAUUGUAAACUUCUUUUAUUUGGGAAGAAAUCUAUCUUUUCUUGGAUAGUUGACGGUACCAGAUGAAUAAGCACCGGCUAACUCCGUGCCAGCAGCCGCGGUAAUACGGAGGGUGCAAGCGUUAUCCGGAUUCACUGGGUUUAAAGGGUGCGUAGGUGGGCAGGUAAGUCAGUGGUGAAAUCUCCGGGCUUGACCCGGAAACUGCCAUUGAUACUAUCUGUCUUGAAUACCCUGGAGGUGAGCGGAAUAUGUCAUGUAGCGGUGAAAUGCUUAGAUAUGACAUAGAACACCCAUUGCGAAGGCAGCUCACUACGGGACUAUAGACACUGAGGCACGAAAGCGUGGGGAUCAAA